This is a long non-coding RNA of Sorex araneus (European shrew), 1290 nucleotides long. RefSeq lists it as uncharacterized. The transcript has 3 exons. The record is from RefSeq and is a predicted model, not a curated record. NCBI's taxonomy places the organism in Eukaryota, Metazoa, Chordata, Mammalia, Eulipotyphla, Soricidae.
AGGCAGGCAGGAGAAGAGGACCAGUGUCCUGGCCCUGGACACAGCAGCUAACUCGGGACGAGUGGCAGAAGGCGGCACACAACCCACCACUGCACAUGCCGACAUGACAGAGAGAAGAAAACGCGAGUCACAGACGGCGAUAUUUCACGAGGCGGCCGGGGGCGGGAAGACAGGAACAUCCCGUGUUUGCGGGGCGCCGGGACGAAACAGUCUCCCCCGGAAGUGAGCUGGGUGGACUGCAGGUCCCUCCAGAGUGAAGAUGGGUGCCCCCAUCCGGCCCCACACGGACACGCACGUGCCCAGACAGAGACGCGUUUGUGAUGUGUUCCUGGCUUCGCGCGGCCGCCGGGGAGUGGGAGCAGCGCCACGCCCGACCAGACCAGACUGUGUAUGCCAAGCGUGUCGGCCUAUACUGAAGUCUGUACUUGGGGAAGAAGGAAAUUGCGCCCAGAGGAAGAAAUCAGAUUGCAGGAAAUCAUUUUGUGGGGAAAUGACCAGACUGCUUUCUCGAGUGCAGAAGAAUUCUGCCUGCUCGCACGGAGGGCCCAGCCCGCACGCGGCUCUGGGUGCGGCUCAGGAGCACGGCCCGCCUGGCUGCUAGGACGCGGCAGGAACGCCCGGGUCAGGGCCCGGGAGCCCGGCGGCUCUUCCCAGGAGCUCGGAAACCCAGACAAAACCACACGCCUCAGGGUCGCUCAGGAUCACAGACGCCUGUUCUCACCCCCAGGGGCGUGAGUGGACACAGCGGCUGGCCACCCCAGAAACCAGCCAAGCGAGGACCGAGGUCACGGUGUUCCGUCUGUCUGUCCCGCAGUGCCCUGAACUCCGGGCCUCACACCGCGCUCUCCUCACGCAGGGCUGGUGUUGGGGGCACCGGGACCAGGUCUCGUUGUUAGCUGCCGCCCGGCUGCCUCCCGGUCAGCGAGGGUGCAGCAGCUCUGCACUGGACACGUCCCCGAGCUGAGUGUCCGUGCAUCACCAAAGAAGAGGAGAAAAUUAAGGGUCAGUGAAACCCUGUGUGCCCGUCUCUCCGCCAAGCUGUUCUGUGGCGGCUGGCACACAGGCCUGCGCGUCUCCUGCUCGCCGGAGGAGCCCCGAGCAAGGCGCAGGCCACCCGGGCCGCUGCUCUGUCCCAGGGCACCACCCCAGCGGGCAGCAGAGGCUCUCAGACCUCUCCCGCUCCCGGCCACGAGGAAUCAGGGCUGCCAGCGAGGGAGGUCAGGAGGGUGAUAGCGGCCCAAGGGAAGCUCGUCCCCACACUUACAUGCACGGAUGGGCACAGGAGGGACA